GAUGAACGCUGGCGGCGUGCCUAAUACAUGCAAGUCGAGCGAACGGACGAGAAGCUUGCUUCUCUGAUGUUAGCGGCGGACGGGUGAGUAACACGUGGAUAACCUACCUAUAAGACUGGGAUAACUUCGGGAAACCGGAGCUAAUACCGUAUAAUAUUUUGAACCGCAUGGUUCAAAAGUUAAAGACGGUCUUGCUGUCACUUAUAGAUGGAUCCGCGCUGCAUUAGCUAGUUGGUAAGGUAACGGCUUACCAAGGCAACGAUGCAUAGCCGACCUGAGAGGGUGAUCGGCCACACUGGAACUGAGACACGGUCCAGACUCCUACGGGAGGCAGCAGUAGGGAAUCUUCCGCAAUGGGCGAAAGCCUGACGGAGCAACGCCGCGUGCGUGAUGAAGGUCUUCGGAUCGUAAACCUCUGUUAUUAGGGACGAACAUAUGUGUAAGUAACUGUGCACAUCUUGACGGUACCUAAUCAGAAAGCCACGGCUAACUACGUG
Molecule: ribosomal RNA, 497 nt
Filed under: uncultured bacterium
Lineage: Bacteria
Description: partial 16S ribosomal RNA
Rfam family: Bacterial small subunit ribosomal RNA
Source: RNAcentral